RNAcentral lists this transfer RNA (77 nucleotides) under Marinomonas sp. 42_23_T18. Its description in RNAcentral is "tRNA-Met". It matches the Rfam family "tRNA". From Rfam's summary of the family: Transfer RNA (tRNA) molecules are approximately 80 nucleotides in length. Their secondary structure includes four short double-helical elements and three loops (D, anti-codon, and T loops). Lineage: Bacteria; Pseudomonadati; Pseudomonadota; Gammaproteobacteria; Oceanospirillales; Oceanospirillaceae. The record is from RNAcentral.
CGCGGGGUGGAGCAGUUUGGUAGCUCGUCGGGCUCAUAACCCGAAGGCCGUAGGUUCGAAUCCUACCCCCGCAACCA